UACGGAGGGUGCAAGCGUUAAUCGGAAUCACUGGGCGUAAAGAGCGCGAAGGCGGUCUCUUAAGUCAGAUGUGAAAGCCCGGGGCUCAACACCGGAAGUGCAUUUGAAACUAAGAGACUUGAGUAUGGGAGAGGGAAGUGGAAUUCCUGGUGUAGCGGUGAAAUGCGUAGAUAUCAGGAGGAACACCGGUGGCGAUGGCGACUUCCUGGACCAAUACUGACGCUGAGGUGCGAAGGCGUGGGGAGCAAACAGG
Molecule: ribosomal RNA, 253 nt
Filed under: uncultured bacterium
Lineage: Bacteria
Description: partial 16S ribosomal RNA
Rfam family: Bacterial small subunit ribosomal RNA
Source: RNAcentral